RNAcentral lists this ribosomal RNA (468 nucleotides) under uncultured bacterium. RNAcentral describes it as "partial 16S ribosomal RNA". It matches the Rfam family "Bacterial small subunit ribosomal RNA", at positions 28 to 507 of the family's 1533-position model. The record is from RNAcentral.
GACGAACGCUGGCGGCGUGCUUAACACAUGCAAGUCGAACGGAAAGGCCCUGCUUUUGUGGGGUGCUCGAGUGGCGAACGGGUGAGUAACACGUGAGUAACCUGCCCUUGACUUUGGGAUAACUUCAGGAAACUGGGGCUAAUACCGGAUAGGAGCUCCUGCUGCAUGGUGGGGGUUGGAAAGUUUCGGCGGUUGGGGAUGGACUCGCGGCUUAUCAGCUUGUUGGUGGGGUAGUGGCUUACCAAGGCUUUGACGGGUAGCCGGCCUGAGAGGGUGACCGGGCACCUGGGUCCUGAGAUACGCACCAGUGUCCAACGGGGGGCAGCAGUGGGAAGCAUUACACAGUGGGCCGAAGCCUGAUGCAGAGGCGCCGCGUGCGUGAUGACGGCUUUCUGGUUGUGAAAAGCUUUAGCCUAUGACGCAGCGUUAGUGACGGUAAUCAGUAAAGAAGCACCGGCUAACUACGUG